Molecule: non-coding RNA, 30 nt
Filed under: Homo sapiens (human)
Lineage: Eukaryota; Metazoa; Chordata; Mammalia; Primates; Hominidae
Source: RNAcentral
UGCAGAAAGGUGGUCAGAUGCAUCCUUGGC